RNAcentral lists this long non-coding RNA (2859 nucleotides) under Citrus sinensis (sweet orange). Its description in RNAcentral is "long non-coding RNA (CSIN_LNC001782)". The record is from RNAcentral. Lineage: Eukaryota; Viridiplantae; Streptophyta; Magnoliopsida; Sapindales; Rutaceae.
GAGAUUCUCUGUAAAAGAACAGAUUAAGAGAGCUAUAGAAAUUUGAACAAAUAUUUCCAAAGACAUCGACCCAUCUUUAAAUUACAAAGUCCAAUAAAUAUAUAAACCUAAAUCUAGUGGGAUUUAGGUUCGUUCAUGGAAAUAUAUAUAAUAAAUUAUUUCCAGUUUGAAACUUUUUCCUUUUUGUUUUUUUUUUUUUUCCUCUUUAAGUUGUACAAUUUCCUUUCCUUCGUUGGUUGAUACAAAAUUUUGAAUAAUUGCAGUGACAAAUGGGCAAAAUUUACAGAAAUUAAAAAGGAGAAAAGAAAAAGCUGGCAGAAACUUCCAAACGAAGACCAAAACUCUAAAUCACGGAUUACAACUAAUUUGGCAAAUAAAAUAAAAAUGCAAAACCCCCCAAAUUAUCCGAAAACCGAGUAAAGAAAAGACAGCCGGAGAGGACCGCGAAUGCGCGGGCCAAUCGUGUGGGUCCCCCGCGGAGCACUUUGUCCCAAUUGGACAACAAGCCAAGCAUUAAUCAAAGCAGCAGACGAUAAUUCCUCUCUCUCUCUCUCUCUCUCUCUCUCUUGCAGUUUCUCCCAUGUGAAUCGUCCCCGCAACAAACAAACGCACAAACAAAUCCUUCUAGCUGACGAAAAAGUGUUUUGUCUUGUACUUCUUUUCUGACACAACUACUCAUAUACUCAUACUAAUACUAAUACUAAGCUCUCUUCAUUUUUCACAAUUCUAAUUUCUAACACAACAAACACAACGGCAAUAUUCUCUCUUGAAUUGAGAGAGAAAUAAACGGUCGUUAUAAAAAGAAGCUCGGCUGCAAUGUCAACAUCACCGUCGCCGGGGGCCACCCCAGCGGCACCGGCCCCCACUUCUCCUCCAUCCGCCAACACCACCUCGCCUCCGCCCCNNNNNNNNNNNNNNNNNNNNNNNNNNNNNNNNNNNNNNNNNNNNNNNNNNNNNNNNNNNNNNNNNNNNNNNNNNNNNNNNNNNNNNNAGGGAUCGCCGCCGCCUCCGACGGGUGACGACGGUGGCGGCGGGGUGAGUACUGGGUUAGUGGUGGGGUUGGCGAUUGGUGGGCUGGCGGUAAUUGUGGUGGUGAGCCUGUUGUUUUUGUGUUGCCGCAAGAAGAGGAGGAGGAGAGAUGAUGAGGCCGGUUACUAUAUGCCCCCACCUCCUCCUGCCCCAAAAGGUAAAGCUUUUAACUUUCUUAUUUUCUUUUCUUUAAAUUUGCAUAUUUAUUUAUUUAUUUAUUUCAAAUUGCUUCUGGUUUCGUUGAUUUUAAUCAUUUUGUGCGUUUCCGUGACCUGUUUUUGCAGUGUUGUUCUUGAUUUAUGAUUAAGAUUUGAUUCAUCCUUGGCAUUGCAUGAAUUUAAAUCGGACUUAGUUUUUUAUUUUUCUUGCAUUUGUUUAAUUCAAUUUUGACCGUUUUGAUUGAUUGAUGCAUGUAUCAAUGAAACCGUCUUAUCUUUGAUUUUUACUUGGUUCUCUGAACUAUUUUGUACUUUGUAGACAUGGGUGAUAUGCAGCUGCAUGUGUGCUGUCUAAUGUCUGUGGAUUGCAACGGAGUCAAAUUUGCUCUUUUGGAGGUGUUGUGAUAUUUUCAUAUUCGAGAUUAUUACUAGAAUUGGGACAUUUUCGGAAUAAUUUCAGUGGUCCUUGUUUUUGUUACCAUAUAGUUGGCCAAAGUCUCAUUCUACCAAACUGGCAAACCCCAUUCCAAAAUUCUGUUUAUUGCAAAAUCUAAAAUCUUGAACUACUUAGGGUAACACAUAAGUUUUAAACUUCUAGUAAAUUAUUGUUCUUUGUUUUACCUUUCCAAUUUUGAUGCUUUCCAUUCACAUAUUUAUCUACAGCUUGUGGCCAAGACUCUUGAUUUUGUCUCAGUUGACUAAGUUACAUCUUAUCAUUAGGAGUACCAAAAAUGGUUCCUGCUAUUGUUUUUUUUUCUUGAGAUUUUGAGGCACUUGAAAAUUGCUUUUUGAUGUUGAAUUGUUAAUUUUGAUUUCAAUACGCUUUUAAUUCAAGGUGUGAUAGCAUAUUGGCAAUACAUUGUGAUCAAGUACUAGUCAUUUCUCUAGUUUCUUUGAGUAAUUAAUUUUAAAGAAGGUGUUAACAAGCUAUACAAAUAACUCCUUGACUAACAUCUCCAGAGGUUCCUGCUUCAAUUAAUAACUAUUGAGUAUUGUAAGUAAUUUAUGAUUUUUCUGCUGUACGGCCAAGGCGGAUGUACGGUACAGCAGAAUUAAAAAGGAGAAAAGAAAAAGCUGGCAGAAACUUCCAAACGAAGACCAAAACUCUAAAUCACGGAUUACAACUAAUUUGGCAAAUAAAAUAAAAAUGCAAAACCCCCCAAAUUAUCCGAAAACCGAGUAAAGAAAAGACAGCCGGAGAGGACCGCGAAUGCGCGGGCCAAUCGUGUGGGUCCCCCGCGGAGCACUUUGUCCCAAUUGGACAACAAGCCAAGCAUUAAUCAAAGCAGCAGACGAUAAUUCCUCUCUCUCUCUCUCUCUCUCUCUCUCUUGCAGUUUCUCCCAUGUGAAUCGUCCCCGCAACAAACAAACGCACAAACAAAUCCUUCUAGCUGACGAAAAAGUGUUUUGUCUUGUACUUCUUUUCUGACACAACUACUCAUAUACUCAUACUAAUACUAAUACUAAGCUCUCUUCAUUUUUCACAAUUCUAAUUUCUAACACAACAAACACAACGGCAAUAUUCUCUCUUGAAUUGAGAGAGAAAUAAACGGUCGUUAUAAAAAGAAGCUCGGCUGCAAUGUCAACAUCACCGUCGCCGGGGGCCACCCCAGCGGCACCGGCCCCCACUUCUCCUCCAUCCGCCAACACCACCUCGCCUCCGCCCCNNNNN